GAUGAACGCUGGCGGCGUGCCUAAUACAUGCAAGUCGAGCGAACAGAUGAGGAGCUUGCUCCUCUGACGUUAGCGGCGGACGGGUGAGUAACACGUGGAUAACCUACCUGUAAGACUGGGAUAACUUCGGGAAACCGGAGCUAAUACCGGAUAAUAUAUUGAACCGCAUGGUUCAAUAGUGAAAGACGGUUUUGCUGUCACUUAUAGAUGGAUCCGCGCCGCAUUAGCUAGUUGGUAAGGUAACGGCUUACCAAGGCAACGAUGCGUAGCCGACCUGAGAGGGUGAUCGGCCACACUGGAACUGAGACACGGUCCAGACACCUACGGGAGGCAGCAGUAGGGAAUCUUCCGCAAUGGGCGAAAGCCUGACGGAGCAACGCCGCGUGAGUGAUGAAGGUCUUCGGAUCGUAAAACUCUGUUAUUAGGGAAGAACAAAUGUGUAAGUAACUAUGCACGUCUUGACGGUACCUAAUCAGAAAGCCACGGCUAACUACGUG
This 497-nucleotide ribosomal RNA is filed under the name uncultured bacterium. RNAcentral describes it as "partial 16S ribosomal RNA". It matches the Rfam family "Bacterial small subunit ribosomal RNA", at positions 28 to 507 of the family's 1533-position model. The record is from RNAcentral.